Molecule: ribosomal RNA, 228 nt
Filed under: uncultured bacterium
Lineage: Bacteria
Description: partial 16S ribosomal RNA
Rfam family: Bacterial small subunit ribosomal RNA
Source: RNAcentral
CAACCUGCCCUUCAGAGGGGGACAACAGUUGGAAACGACUGCUAAUACCGCAUACGAUCUAACCUCGGCAUCGAGGAUAGAUGAAAGGUGGCCUCUAUGUAUAAGCUAUCACUGAAGGAGGGGAUUGCGUCUGAUUAGCUAGUUGGAGGGGUAACGGCCCACCAAGGCGAUGAUCAGUAGCCGGUCUGAGAGGGUGAACGGCCACAUUGGGACUGAGACACGGCCCAA